Molecule: transfer RNA, 72 nt
Organism: Gonapodya prolifera JEL478
Lineage: Eukaryota; Fungi; Monoblepharomycota; Monoblepharidomycetes; Monoblepharidales; Gonapodyaceae
Rfam family: tRNA
About the family: Transfer RNA (tRNA) molecules are approximately 80 nucleotides in length. Their secondary structure includes four short double-helical elements and three loops (D, anti-codon, and T loops).
Source: Rfam
AGCACCGUGGCGAAGUGGGAUCGCGACGGGCUCAUAACCCGUAAGUCGGUGGAUCGAAACCACCCGGUGCUA